UCACCAUUCAUAUUCAUCAUCAUCAUAUUAGACAUCAUCAUCAUCAAACGUCUCCGAUCAAACUCCAUUUGAACCGUUCAUCUCUUCUCCGGUAACUAUUCGACCAUCUUCUCCGGUCAUCACAACCUUCGUUCAUCGUCUUUCUCGCCACUGCCAUCAACACACCCUCGGUCACCUGUUACAUCUUUAUCUCUGUUCUCAUCGUAGAUACGGUUCACGUUUAUUAUCGUACAUCAUCUAAAACAGAUUCGAAACACUACACGGUUCACGUGUAUUGUCGUUCACCUCCGGCCAGCGACUGUCAUCUACCAUCAUCAUCCGAUCGACAUCGCAAGUAUUCGUGUUCUUGUUUUUGUCUCUCGAAUUCAGUAUUGUGUUCUAGAGCUCAAGUCUUUCAGCAUCUGCUUGUAUGAGUUUGUGACGGAAAUGGGAAGGAAACCGGAAGAAAACAAAAUUGUUUUGGUUUUUUUUUGUGACAGCUCUUGUCAUCGGGAAAAGAAGGAUACUUAUGACAUAUUUCUGUUGUCGGGGCUUAUGAGAAUUUGCGUGGGAAGCUUUGUCCAAUAACCAGAAGUUUUGGUUGUGUAUUUCAUAAUGAUUCGAUGUUGUUAUUCAGAUUUCGGUGACUAGCAAAAUAUCUUGGUGGCUGAUGUCCUUUGUUUGCGGCUAGGGUUUGGAGUUUUGCAUGUGCUGGAUCAUAUGAUGGGCCAAUCAUUAGCCAAUAUUGUAAAUUCUAGAUUGGGCAUUCCCAUGGGCCCACUUAAUUGUUACGUGACGUUAUUUCAACAUCAUCAAGUGGUUUUUAAGUGAAGUGGGCCGAUUAAAGUGGUGCAAAAUUUUGGAGCAUAUUUGAAUCAGUUCUUUGUUGGACCGGAUAGAGAAUGGGCUUGUUUACUAUUGUACCAUUAAAAGAAAAGAUCCAAAAUUGAAGAUCAUCACAGUUGAAGAAGACAUUAUUUUUCUAAUCCGUAAUAAAGAUAGCAUAAAACUAGGGGGAUAUUGUAAGGCCCAGAAAUUGUAUAGUUUUACGCUUAUCUUUAUUGUACACAGUUAUGUUUAUUGGGCUUAGAAUAGGACUUGGGUUUGGGCUAGGCCAUGUGGGCCGAUUGGUUAGAGGCUCCUAUAUAUUGUCAUUCUAGUUUAUUGUUAGGGAGCUCUCUCAUAUUUUUGUAAUCAUGUAAUCCCCAUGGAGAACCUUGUACCAGACAAUCCUAGAGAUUGUGUGCAAGGUUCUUAGAGAUUGUACCAGACGUUCCUAGAGAGCGUGUGCAAUCUUCUUAGAGAUCGUACCAGACGGUUCGUUGAAACCGUGUGCGAUCAAAGCAGCGGCACAAAGUUUGCGGCACAAAGCAGCGGCACAAGGUGUGGUUUGAUCAAGCUCGGACUUUUUUGCCAUCCCUAACCGAUACCGACCGUCGGAUUCUUAUUACCCUUAGAGAGUUUUUCCCCGGUGGAACCCAUAUUGAGAUGUGAAGAUGUUAUGGUAAGAUGUGUGAGGACGAUGUUGGUAUUUAUAGAGCUUGUAUAAUUUAGGUUUUUCUUUUAUGCAAAAAUAAAUACUUCACUCUUU
This is a long non-coding RNA of Helianthus annuus (common sunflower), 1570 nucleotides long. RefSeq lists it as uncharacterized. The record is from RefSeq and is a predicted model, not a curated record. NCBI's taxonomy places the organism in Eukaryota, Viridiplantae, Streptophyta, Magnoliopsida, Asterales, Asteraceae. The transcript is spliced from 2 exons.